RNAcentral lists this ribosomal RNA (255 nucleotides) under uncultured bacterium. Its description in RNAcentral is "partial 16S ribosomal RNA". It matches the Rfam family "Bacterial small subunit ribosomal RNA", at positions 104 to 376 of the family's 1533-position model. The record is from RNAcentral.
GGGUGACUAACGCGUGGAAAUCUGCAAUUCCGUACGGAAUAACGUUUGGAAACGAACGCUAAUACCGUAUACGCCCUACCGGGGAAAGGUCCGCCGCAGAAUGAGGAGUCCGCGUCCGAUUAUCUCCUUGGUAGGGUAAUGGCCUACCAAGGCGACGACCGGAAGCUGGUCUGAUAGGAAGAUCAGCCACUCUGGGACUGAGACACGGCCCCGACUCCUACGGGAAGAAGCACUGGGGAAUAUUGCACAAUGAGG